RNAcentral lists this long non-coding RNA (1562 nucleotides) under Gouania willdenowi (blunt-snouted clingfish). RNAcentral's name for it is "lncRNA (ENSGWIG00000019559.1)". The record is from RNAcentral. Lineage: Eukaryota; Metazoa; Chordata; Actinopteri; Blenniiformes; Gobiesocidae.
GGGACAUUUUCGAGCAAGAUGGCAAGGGGGACAGUGGCUGCGUACCUGCAUGGAGUCCUUCUCGUGACUUUGUGGAAACCUUCGCUGCAAGGCGGUGUUUACAUACCUACUGGUGGAGCUGCAGCUGGUGCUGGACCUGUACCUGGAUUUGGACCAGGUGGGACUGGAACAGGAUUUGGUCCUGGAAGUGCUGGAACAGGUUAUCAGCGUGGUGGAGAAGCUGGACCAGGAGGAACUGGUGCUGGUUUAGGAAGCUUUGGGCCAGGAGCUGGUGGAGCUGGCUUUGGUGGUCAAAGACCAGGAGGUGUCGGACCAGGAGGUGUCGGACCAGGAGGUGUUGGACCAGGAGGGUUUGGACCAGGAGGUGUCGGACCAGGAGGGGUCGGACCAGGAGGGUUUGGACCUGGAAGUGUUGGACCAGGAGGUUUCAGGCCAAGCACCUUUGGUCAAGGCAGUGGAGGUGUCUAUGGUGGUCUGGGACCGGGUGGAACUGGGACAGGUGGUUUUGAGCCAAGUGGUGUUGGUCGUGGAAGUUAUGGAACUGGAGCUGUAGGCAGUGGUACCGCUGGCCAAGGAACAGGUGGCUAUGGGGGGUAUGGAGGAUAUGGACCAACUGAUGGAACUGGCCCCAAACCACCGAAAACAGGUGGUGUUGGAACAACAUUUGGUGGAACUGGUUAUGGGCCUGGGGGUGCAGGAGUCGGGCCUGGUGGUGCAGGAUAUGGACCUGGCAGUGCAGGAUAUGGACCUGGCGGUGCAGGGUAUGGGCCUGGUGGUGCAGGAGUUGGGCCUGGUGGUGCCGGAUUCGGGCCUGGUGGUGCAGGGUAUGGGCCUGGCGGUGCAGGAGUCGGGCCUAGUGGUGCCGGAUUCGGGCCUGGCGGUGCAGGAGUCGGGCCUGGUGGUGCCGGAUUCGGGCCUGGUGGUGCAGGGUAUGGGCCUGGCGGUGCAGGAUUCGGGCCUGGUGGUACAGGAGUCGGGCCUGGCAGUGCAGGAGUCAGGCCUGGCGGUGCAGGGUAUGGGCCUGGUGGUGCAGGAGUUGGGCCUGGCGGUGCAGGGUAUGGGUCUGGUGGUGCAGGAGUCGGACCUGGCGGUGCAGCAGUAGGGCCAGGCGGGGCAGGAGUCAGGCCUGGCGGUGCAGGAUUUGGGCCUGGCGGUGCAGGAGUCGGGCCUGGCGAUGCAGGAGUUGGGCCUGGCGGUGCAGGAGUCGGGCCUGGCGGUGCAGGAUUUGGGCCUGGUGGUGCAGGAGUCGGGCUUGGUCAAGGUGGAGCUGCUGUCCCAGGAAGAGGUUCACUACUUCCACAAACUGGUACAACUGGAGCAGGGCAUGGUGGGAAGAGUGGUGGAAAAGCAUCGAAACAAAUUCCAGGAAUUGGAGUACCUGGACUCUACCAAGGUGGAUUUGUACCAGGACAAGGCUUUGGAGGCAGAGGUGUUCUCCCCGGAGUGGCCACAGGAUCAGGAUUGGGGUCUCAGACUGGUAUAAAAAUAUUUCAAUAUUCAUGCAUCCUGGAAUAUCCCCUUGUGGGAUAAAAAAAAAAACAUAAUACAACAUUGCUUUAAUC